GAAGGUGGAGCUCCGUGGUAGAGCACAUGCUUAGCAUGCCUGAGGUCCUGGGUUCAAUCCCCAGUCCCUCCA
This 72-nucleotide transfer RNA is filed under the name Camelus bactrianus (Bactrian camel). It matches the Rfam family "tRNA". Rfam says of the family: Transfer RNA (tRNA) molecules are approximately 80 nucleotides in length. Their secondary structure includes four short double-helical elements and three loops (D, anti-codon, and T loops). Further hydrogen bonds mediate the characteristic L-shaped molecular structure. tRNAs have two regions of fundamental functional importance: the anti-codon, which is responsible for specific mRNA codon recognition, and the 3' end, to which the tRNAs corresponding amino acid is attached (by aminoacyl-tRNA synthetases). tRNAs cope with the degeneracy of the genetic code in two manners: having more than one tRNA (with a specific anti-codon) for a particular amino acid; and 'wobble' base-pairing, i.e. permitting non-standard base-pairing at the 3rd anti-codon position. The record is from Rfam by way of RNAcentral. RNAcentral also lists the same sequence under 1 other name. Lineage: Eukaryota; Metazoa; Chordata; Mammalia; Artiodactyla; Camelidae.